UUCGAUCACCGAAGUUAAGCAUCGUAGAGCCAGGUCAGUACUUAGAUGGGGGACCGCUUGGGAACACCUGGUACUGUAAGC
This 81-nucleotide ribosomal RNA is filed under the name Acanthosepion pharaonis. Lineage: Eukaryota; Metazoa; Mollusca; Cephalopoda; Sepiida; Sepiidae. The record is from RNAcentral.